RNAcentral lists this transfer RNA (76 nucleotides) under SAR324 cluster bacterium. RNAcentral's name for it is "tRNA-Phe". It matches the Rfam family "tRNA". Rfam says of the family: Transfer RNA (tRNA) molecules are approximately 80 nucleotides in length. The record is from RNAcentral. Lineage: Bacteria; Deltaproteobacteria.
GGCCAGAUAGCUCAGUUGGUAGAGCAACGGACUGAAAAUCCGUGUGUCGGUGGUUCACUUCUACCUCUGGCCACCA